This 4820-nucleotide unclassified non-coding RNA is filed under the name Hevea brasiliensis (rubber tree). The record is from RNAcentral. Lineage: Eukaryota; Viridiplantae; Streptophyta; Magnoliopsida; Malpighiales; Euphorbiaceae.
GUAGUUUGGGUGCUUACGUGGCGUUCUGUGUGCCGUUGGAUUGAUAAGAUUCGUCGCUUAAAGAUUCAUCCUUUUUUCCUGCUCUUUGACCCGUUAAAUGUUUUUGGCUCUGGUAUAAAACGACAUCGUUUAUGCAACACGAAUCCGAUAGGCAAGUCGUUGCCUAUGUUUAUACCCUCAAUCAUGUCUGAAAAGUCUUUGACUUCAAUUUUUUGUUGGUUCAUCCAAAUCAUGUCACUUUUUCCAUUUUUUUUUUCCUGAAAUGUAAACGACUCUUCAAAACUGAGCCUUUGAUCGCUACUUCUGUUCAUCAUCUACUUUCCUCUGCCCAGAAUAAGCCAACCAUGUCUCAUCUACCUUCUUUGCCUCUUUCCAUUUCUAAAUUAACUGCUAUACUAAUGCUACUACUGUUACCAGUAGCCUUGUCAAGUUUAACAAACGAAGUUAUAGAUGUUGUGGUUAAUCGUUUGGAUUCUAAACGGUCCUCCCCAUUAAUUCAAGAAUCAGCAGCUAAAGGUGUUUUACAAAGAUUGCUUCCUUCCCACUUACACAGCUUUGAAUUCAAGAUUGUCUCCAAGGAUGUUUGUGGUGGUCACAGUUGCUUUCUGAUAAACAAUUACAACCAAUUGAGCCACAGUGGGCCUGAGAUUAUAAUUAAAGGCACCACUGCUGUAGAACUUGCAUCUGGGCUUCAUUGGUACAUAAAGUAUUGGUGUGGUGGUCAUAUUUCAUGGGAUAAGACUGGUGGCAUUCAGAUAAAUACAAUUCCAAAGCCAGGAUCACUGCCUCUUGUAAAGGAUGAGAGUGUAAUGAUUCAGCGGCCAGUCCCAUGGAACUAUUACCAAAAUGUUGUUACAUCCAGUUAUUCAUAUGUUUGGUGGAAUUGGGAAAGAUGGGAGAAAGAGAUAGAUUGGAUGGCUCUUCAAGGAAUUAAUUUGCCUUUGGCAUUCACAGGACAGGAAGCCAUUUGGCAAAAAGUUUUCCUGAAUUUUAAUGUCAGUUCAGAAGAUUUGAAUGAUUUCUUUGGUGGACCUGCUUUCCUUGCUUGGGCUCGUAUGGGGAAUUUGCAUGCAUGGGGUGGGCCUUUGUCACAAAAUUGGUUGGAUCAACAAUUAAGUUUGCAAAAACAGAUACUCUCUCGGAUGCUGGAGUUAGGCAUGACUCCAGUGCUACCAUCAUUCUCUGGGAACGUUCCAGCAGCUUUGAAGAAAGUCUUCCCUUCGGCAAAUAUAACUAGACUUGGGGACUGGAACACUGUAAAUAAAGAUCCUCGUUGGUGCUGUACUUACCUUCUUGAUCCUUCUGAUCCCUUGUUUGUUGAAAUUGGGGAGGCAUUUAUAAGGCAACAAAUUAAAGGUGUGCUUUAUGCUUGUUUGAUGUGACAUGGAUUCUUUUGAAUUAUUAUAUCAAGAAAAUUCAUUACAGCUCUAGGUUAUCAAAUAGUUGACCAAAAUAAUUAGUCUUGCAUUAACAAACUGGUAAAUUUUAGUUAAAAGUAAAGUAACACAAAAGACUGGAAACGUAUGCAUUAACUACCAAUGUAUCAUGUGAUUUGCCAAAAAAAAAAAAGAACUGGCUUGAAGAUUUGGAAUAGAACUUUUGAACUUUGGCAUCAUACUAGGAAUCUAACCAACAGAAUCUUGGAGGUAUGUAAAUGGACUCUGUACAUUAAUACAAGCAUGCAUUAACAUGCAUAGAUGUAGAAUUGUGUAGUUCAUCCUAUUAGUUUAGCUCAGCUUGUUCAAAUGAAACAUCUUCAAAAUUAAGUGGUGUGGUAGGACAGCCAGGAGCAGUUGAAUAAUCUCCUGGAAUUGAUAUAGGAUAUAAUAAGAAAGGCAUCUUUGUUUUAAAUAUGCAAAUUAAUGGCAUAAAGGAUUAGAAAUUUGUUGGCGUGGUUAGGGUUUGGUAAAUAGUUGAUUUGGAAUGAUAUUAAAACUUGGAAACAAGGUCAUGGGUCUUGGAGCCUGCUUCUGAGUCUAUGAACACCUUUAUUAGUACCCACAAACAGUAAUCAGGAUUCAGGAGGUAAUUUAUACUUCAUUUGUGGCUAGUAUAUUGCCGAUAUGGUUCAAGCUUGUAAAACAGUGGAAGCGAGUUUUUUCUAGUUAGAAACUUUAAAAUCAGACUUGACGUUCAAUGUUGUUUGAAAUCACUUUAAGAAAUCAAAGAAAAGGUAAAAGAUUCUAAGUUUCAUACCUAGAAUUUCAUAUGCAUCACAAAUGAUUCCCUUCAAUAUCAUUCAAAAAUAGAAGUUCAGACAGUUCCAUGGUUAGUUACCUAUUCAUUUUUUGAUAAAGGCAGGCAGUGAAUUUUUAAAUUUGACAAAAUGAAGCUCUGCAUUUGAAAGAGUGAUUAAAUUUCAAUGAUGGACUUUUCUCAGUGUUCUUGGAGUUUUUGGUUCGCUUCUGUGUUAAAGCUAUGCAAGAAAGAUGUGUUUCAUUUAGUUUACAUGCAUAUUAAUAUUUCUAUUUUUUAUUCAUUAAUCUAUUUAUUGCCUUUUUCUUAUUUUAAUUUUGUGGUAUUUCAGAAUAUGGAGAUGUGACAGACAUCUACAACUGUGAUACAUUCAAUGAGAAUACCCCACCUACAAAUGAUUCAGAAUACAUCUCCUCACUUGGUGAAGCAGUAUAUAAAGCAAUGUCCAAAGGUGAUGAGGAUGCUGUGUGGCUAAUGCAAGUAUGCUGCUCACUUCUUCCACAACCCUUCCUUGCUAGUCCUCCUCAAUUUAUUAAUAUAAAUUUAUUUAUGCACGAGGCUAUAUGGUAACAUUCAUUUAUCUCUCUCACUACAGAAGAUUAAUUCUGUUAAACUGGAAGUUUUCUGCAUAUAACGUGUGCUGUCCCCAUCUUUUCUCUUUCGUUGCUCUGAAAUAAAUGAAUUCUAGUUGACUGUUCUUCCGAUGUGCAGGGUUGGCUCUUCGUUUCUGACUCUUCUUUCUGGAAGCCACCUCAAAUGAAGGUAUGCGUUUGUAUGAGGCAUUGAUGAAAUUUAAUUAGCGUAGGAUCCUCUUAAUGGUGACAGGCAUGACUCAAGCUCUAUCAAUUUUAUACAUAACAUUUCAAACACAAAAGGAAUUGGGGCUCACUUUGUCUUAAAAGAAACUGCUCAUCUAUUUGUUUCCAUUUGGCUAUUGACUGGUGCUUUUUGUUUUCAUGCUAAUGCCAGUUAUGUUUGGAAAUUUUUAUUUUUUAAUCUUAAACUAGGUGGUAUUUGCAGGCACUUCUACACUCUGUUCCAUUUGGGAAAAUGAUAGUUCUAGAUCUGUUUGCUGAUGUCAAGCCGAUAUGGGGAAAUUCCUCCCAGUUUUAUGGAACUCCUUAUGUCUGGUAGUUAGCUAUUUCUUACACCAUUAGCAAGACGCUUAAUCCUCAAGAUAUCUACCUUAACUAGUCAUAUUUUUUCUCAUUUACUCUUAAUUUUUCUGAACUUGGUAUUCAAAUUCAGUGGUAAAGGUAUUCACUAUUGGUUAACUUUGACAUAAAUCAGGUGUAUGUUGCAUAAUUUUGGUGGAAAUAUUGAAAUGUACGGCAUAUUGGAUGCAAUAUCUUCAGGUCCAAUUGAUGCUGGUGUCAGUGAAAAUUCAACUAUGGUUGGUGUUGGCUUGUGCAUGGAAGGAAUAGAGCAUAAUCCUGUUGUUUAUGAGCUAAUGUCUGAAAUGGCAUUUCGCAGUGAAAAAGUUCAAGUUCUGGAAUGGCUGAAGACCUAUUCUCGUAGACGAUAUGGUAAAGCAGUUAACCAGGUUGAGGCAGCUUGGGAGAUCCUUUACCACACAAUUUACAAUUGUACAGAUGGAAUCGCUGACCACAACACAGAUUUCAUAGUUAAAUUUCCAGACUGGGAUCCAUCUCUUAACUCUGGAUCUGACAGAAUGAAAGAAGACAAGAUGCACAUCUUUCUCUCCAUACCCAGAAGGAAAAGAUUCUUAUUUCAACAGCCAAGUUCCAAGUUGCCCCAGGCACAUAUAUGGUAUUCUACUCAGGAGGUGGUCAAUGCAUUGCAAUUAUUCCUUCAUGCUGGAAAUGAUCUUAAUGGAAGCCUCACUUACAGAUAUGACUUGGUUGACCUAACACGGCAAGUUCUGUCAAAGCUAGCAAAUCAAGUAUACAUUGAUGCUAUAAUUGCUUUUCAGAAGAAAGAUGCUGAUGCAUUGAAGCUUCAGAGCCAGAAAUUUUUACAACUCAUCGAUGACAUUGAUGUACUUCUUGCUUCUGAUGAUAAUUUUCUACUUGGAACAUGGCUCAAAAGUGCAAAAGAGCUGGGAGUAAAUCCUAUUGAGAUGAGGCAGUAUGAAUGGAAUGCAAGAACACAAGUGACAAUGUGGUUCGACACGACAAAAACCAAUCAGAGCCAACUCCAUGAUUAUGCUAACAAAUUUUGGAGUGGGCUACUAAAAGACUAUUAUCUUCCUCGAGCUUCAACCUAUUUUGAUCAUCUGUUAAAGAGCUUGAAAGAAAAUGAAAACUUCAAGAUUGUGGAAUGGAGGGAAGAAUGGAUAGCAUUCUCAAACAGAUGGCAAGCAAGCACAGAGCUUUAUCCAGUGACGGCCAGAGGAGAUGCUCUUGCUAUUUCUAAAGCAUUGUAUAAAAGAUAUUUUGGUUAACAAUAUGACUGGUUCAUAUAUUUAUGACAAUAAUAAGGUGGGUUCAUGCUAAAUGUUUUUGAAGGUGUAAUUAUCUCUGAGCGGGUGCCAGAGUUCAUAUCUCACAGAUUAAAAUCCUUCUCCAUGUUAACACGUUUUCCAUUUGUAUUUUUAUUUUUUAAUGAUUAUAAAAACCCUUAAAAUUCUGGGAUUUGCAAAUGUAAUACUAGUUUGGUGGAGC